CAGCAGAAAAGCCAGCAGCUUUGUCUUCUAGAGACAAGCUCAGCCCUGUUCAGCAUGCAAAAAGAACAGUAUCAAGAGCCCAGAGAUGAUCCUGUUACACUUCCAAUAUCGUGUUCACUUCUCAGGCCUGUGGUUUCAGGUGCUAUCACAGGAUCAUGAAAUUCCGGUGAGAAUUGAAUGUGAUCAUCUGUGUGAAACACAGGCCACAGUAUGCAAUCCUGCCUAAGAGAUCAGCAAAUACCAUCCAUGUCAUCACCAUGACCACCACCACUACCAUCAUGUCAUCCACUACCAAUAUCAUCAUAGCCUAUGUCAUCAUCACACCACCACCACCAUCAUCAUCAUCACUUUAAACCACCACCACCAUCAUCAUUAUCACCAUCAUCAUCAUCUGUGGUCUUUCUUCACUCAAAUUAUACUUGUUCCAUGUCUUUCUCCUUCCUGACACCAUUCUCUAAUACUGGUCUGUAAAAUAUUCAUGUCACAAGCAGAUUUGGAUAUUGUUAGGACUAAAAUGAAAUAUUGUGGUCAGUAUUAGUUUUUUUUUUUUUUGCCUUGAGGACAUUUCAAAACUCAACGGGAAGGCAUAAAGACAGUACAUAUUUAUUUCACUGUUCUUUGUUCCCAGUGCAAGGUUUAAUAUGUCAGGAACAUGCUAAAUUCUGUGUUGUUUGUUUUUGACAAAUAAAGGGUUUAUAAAACUUUUCCAAUUGGCAAACCAAGGUAGCACUACUUCUUCAUAGAAGGUGGUUUCUAUUCUGUUUGAAACAUGAAUCAGGGCAGCUACUCUAGUGUGGAAUUACUCUAAUCUAAUGUGGAGGCAAGAGCAUCCGGAAGCAUCUAACCACAGUGCCCUGUGGUGCUGCCUUGGUCUGGAUGUGAGCAGCAGGGUGCACAUGGCUUUGCCCUGACUGAGUCUCACAUCUGGACAUAUGUUGUCUUUAGAUCGACACUUCAGAAAAAUUCAUUCUAUUUGGUUUAAACAGAAGAGGAAAAUAAAGUAGUGUCUUAGUCACUGCUCUGUUGCUGUGAAGAGAUGCCAUGAUUAAGGCAACCCUUAGAACAGAAAGCAUUUGACUGGGGGCUUGCCUACCGUGUCAGAGGUUUAGUUCAUUGUCAUCUUCAGAACAUAGUCCAAGAAUGGAGUCCUUUAACAAUUCUGAAUGCUUAUGAAAAAUUCCAAGAAAACAAGAUCUUGUGAUCUCAGUUUCUUCAAAAACAAAAACUUGUUCUUGGGAUGCUCUUUCAUGCCCCUUCUAGAUGUAUCGAACAGGAGUGAUUCCACUUUAGAUUACACAUUACCCUUGGCUAUUGUUAUUUGUUUAUAUGGCUCUAUGGAAAACAUGUUUUUGCCAAUUGUGUUCUGCCCUUGUGAUUGAACACCUUACUCAUGAUUCAUCUUAACCCUUGUGGUAUAAAUUGCCAGAUGCUCUGAAUAAAGUUGGCUAUUGCAUGA
Long non-coding RNA from Mus musculus (house mouse), 1456 nucleotides. RefSeq annotates it as predicted gene, 54143. The record is from RefSeq and is a predicted model, not a curated record. NCBI's taxonomy places the organism in Eukaryota, Metazoa, Chordata, Mammalia, Rodentia, Muridae. The transcript is spliced from 2 exons.